RNAcentral lists this ribosomal RNA (791 nucleotides) under uncultured bacterium. RNAcentral's name for it is "bacterial SSU rRNA". It matches the Rfam family "Bacterial small subunit ribosomal RNA", at positions 8 to 796 of the family's 1533-position model. The record is from RNAcentral.
AGAGUUUGAUCAUGGCUCAGAUUGAACGCUGGCGGCAUGCCUUACACAUGCAAGUCGAACGGUAACGCGGGGGCAACCCUGGCGACGAGUGGCGAACGGGUGAGUAAUAUAUCGGAACGUGCCCUAGAGUGGGGGAUAACUAGUCGAAAGACUAGCUAAUACCGCAUACGAUCUACGGAUGAAAGCGGGGGAUCGCAAGACCUCGCGCUCAUGGAGCGGCCGAUAUCUGAUUAGCUAGUUGGUGGGGUAAAAGCCUACCAAGGCAUCGAUCAGUAGCUGGUCUGAGAGGACGACCAGCCACACUGGGACUGAGACACGGCCCAGACUCCUACGGGAGGCAGCAGUGGGGAAUUUUGGACAAUGGGGGCAACCCUGAUCCAGCAAUGCCGCGUGAGUGAAGAAGGCCUUCGGGUUGUAAAGCUCUUUUGUCAGGGAAGAAACGGUUGUUCCUAAUACGGAUGACUAAUGACGGUACCUGAAGAAUAAGCACCGGCUAACUACGUGCCAGCAGCCGCGGUAAUACGUAGGGUGCGAGCGUUAAUCGGAAUUACUGGGCGUAAAGCGUGCGCAGGCGGUUGUGCAAGACAGAUGUGAAAUCCCCGGGCUUAACCUGGGAAUUGCAUUUGUGACUGCACGGCUAGAGUGUGUCAGAGGGGGGUAGAAUUCCACGUAGCAGUGAAAUGCGUAGAUAUGUGGAGGAAUACCGAUGGCGAAGGCAGCCCCCUGGGAUAACACUGACGCUCAUGCACGAAAGCGUGGGGAGCAAACAGGAUUAGAUACCCCAGUAGUCC